Phalacrocorax carbo (great cormorant) is the source of this 78-nucleotide small nucleolar RNA. It matches the Rfam family "Small nucleolar RNA snR60/Z15/Z230/Z193/J17". From Rfam's summary of the family: The members of this family belong to the C/D class of snoRNAs which contain the C (UGAUGA) and D (CUGA) box motifs. The record is from Rfam. Lineage: Eukaryota; Metazoa; Chordata; Aves; Suliformes; Phalacrocoracidae.
AAGCUGCGUGUGAUGACAGCAUAGUUCAGCAGAUGACCCAUGGUGAUCACUGUCUUUCGCUCCUAUCUGAUGCAGCCA